UGAACGCUGGCGGUAUGCCUUACACAUGCAAGUCGUACGAGAGUUUUUAACUCAAGUGGCGGACGGGUGAGUAACACGUAAGAAUUUGCCUUUAGGAGGGGGAUAACAUUUAGAAAUGGAUGCUAAUACCCCAUAUGCUUUCGAGUGAAACGGAAUUUUCCGCCUAGAGAGAAGCUUGCGGCUGAUUAGCUUGUUGGUGAGGUAAUGGCUCACCAAGGCGACGAUCAGUAUCUGGUUUGAGAGGACGAUCAGACACACUGGAACUGAGACACGGUCCAGACUCCUACGGGAGGCAGCAGUGGGGAAUUUUCCGCAAUGGGCGAAAGCCUGACGGAGCAAUACCGCGUGAGGGAUGACGGCCUAUGGGUUGUAAACCUCUUUUUUCAGGGAGGAAUCAAAUGACGUGUACCUGAAGAAUAAGCAUCGGCUAACUCC
This 435-nucleotide ribosomal RNA is filed under the name uncultured bacterium. RNAcentral describes it as "bacterial SSU rRNA". It matches the Rfam family "Bacterial small subunit ribosomal RNA", at positions 30 to 504 of the family's 1533-position model. The record is from RNAcentral.